AAACUGAAGAGUUUGAUCCUGGCUCAGAUUGAACGCUGGCGGCAUGCCUUACACAUGCAAGUCGAACGGCAGCACGGGUGCUUGCACCUGGUGGCGAGUGGCGAACGGGUGAGUAAUACAUCGGAACAUGUCCUGUAGUGGGGGAUAGCCCGGCGAAAGCCGGAUUAAUACCGCAUACGAUCUACGGAUGAAAGCGGGGGACCUUCGGGCCUCGCGCUAUAGGGUUGGCCGAUGGCUGAUUAGCUAGUUGGUGGGGUAAAGGCCUACCAAGGCGACGAUCAGUAGCUGGUCUGAGAGGACGACCAGCCACACUGGGACUGAGACACGGCCCAGACUCCUACGGGAGGCAGCAGUGGGGAAUUUUGGACAAUGGGCGAAAGCCUGAUCCAGCAAUGCCGCGUGUGUGAAGAAGGCCUUCGGGUUGUAAAGCACUUUUGUCCGGAAAGAAAUCCUUGGCUCUAAUACAGUCGGGGGAUGACGGUACCGGAAGAAUAAGCACCGGCUAACUACGUGCCAGCAGCCGCGGUAAUACGUAGGGUGCGAGCGUUAAUCGGAAUUACUGGGCGUAAAGCGUGCGCAGGCGGUUUGCUAAGAC
Molecule: ribosomal RNA, 595 nt
Filed under: Burkholderia orbicola
Lineage: Bacteria; Pseudomonadati; Pseudomonadota; Betaproteobacteria; Burkholderiales; Burkholderiaceae
Description: bacterial SSU rRNA
Rfam family: Bacterial small subunit ribosomal RNA
Source: RNAcentral